CGGCACGGGGAGGUAGUGACGAAAAAUAACAAUACGGGACUCUUUUGAGACCCCGUAAUUGGAAUGAGUACACUCUAAAUCCUUUAACGAGGAUCUAUUGGAGGGCAAGUCUGGUGCCAGCAGCCGCGGUAAUUCCAGCUCCAAUAGCGUAUAUUAAAGUUGUUGCGGUUAAAAAGCUCGUAGUUGGAUCUCAGUUCCAGACGGGCGGUCCUCCUAACGGUGGUUACUGCCUGGCCUGAACAGCCAGCCGGUUUCCCUAGAUGAUCUUCACCGGUUGUCUUGGGUGACCGGCACGUUUACUUUGAAAAAAUUAGAGUGCUCAAAGCAGGCGUGUAGCCUGAAUAAUGGUGCAUGGAAUAAUGGAAUAGGACUUCGUUUCUAUUUUGUUGGUUUUCGGAACACGAGGUAAUGAUUAAGAGGGACAGACGGGGGCAUUCGUAUUGCGACGCUAGAGGUGAAAUUCUUGGACCGUCGCAAGACGAACU
RNAcentral lists this ribosomal RNA (485 nucleotides) under Macrothelidae gen. 2 sp. 2 ZZY-2021a. RNAcentral's name for it is "SSU rRNA". It matches the Rfam family "Eukaryotic small subunit ribosomal RNA", at positions 452 to 941 of the family's 1831-position model. The record is from RNAcentral. Lineage: Eukaryota; Metazoa; Arthropoda; Arachnida; Araneae; Macrothelidae.